This is a long non-coding RNA of Lontra canadensis (Northern American river otter), 174 nucleotides long. RefSeq lists it as uncharacterized. NCBI's taxonomy places the organism in Eukaryota, Metazoa, Chordata, Mammalia, Carnivora, Mustelidae. The transcript has 3 exons. The record is from RefSeq and is a predicted model, not a curated record.
UUAUUUGUGCUGGGUUUGGGUUAUUUGGGAAGUCAAAUUUCAACUGGGAAUAAGCUGUUGAAGUUAGAGGAGAAACUCUCUGGAAGACCGUGGAUGGCCACCAGAUACUGUCUGGAGGAAAACAAGGAAUCAGUGUGGCAGACCAGUUCGCAAUAAAAGCAGAGAGGCAGCUGG